RNAcentral lists this ribosomal RNA (454 nucleotides) under uncultured bacterium. RNAcentral's name for it is "partial 16S ribosomal RNA". It matches the Rfam family "Bacterial small subunit ribosomal RNA", at positions 28 to 507 of the family's 1533-position model. The record is from RNAcentral.
GAUGAACGCUGACAGAAUGCUUAACACAUGCAAGUCAACUUGAACUUCGGUUUGGGUGGCGGACGGGUGAGUAACGCGUAAAGAACUUGCCUCACAGCUAGGGACAACAUUUGGAAACGAAUGCUAAUACCUGAUAUUAUGAUUAUAUGGCAUCGUAUAAUUAUGAAAGCUAUAUGCGCUGUGAGAGAGCUUUGCGUCCCAUUAGCUAGUUGGAUAGGUAACAGCUCACCAAGGCGAUGAUGGGUAGCCGGCCUGAGAGGGUGAUCGGCCACAAGGGGACUGAGACACGGCCCUUACUCCUACGGGGGGCAGCAGUGGGGAAUAUUGGACAAUGGACCGAGAGUCUGAUCCAGCAAUUCUGUGUGCACGAUGAAGUUUUUCGGAAUGUAAAGUGCUUUCAGUUGGGAAGAAAAAAAUGACGGUACCAACAGAAGAAGUGACGGCUAAAUACGUG